Molecule: long non-coding RNA, 186 nt
Organism: Haliotis rubra (blacklip abalone)
Lineage: Eukaryota; Metazoa; Mollusca; Gastropoda; Lepetellida; Haliotidae
Exons: 3
Source: RefSeq, a predicted model, not a curated record
UGGAUCCACUGACUUGUUGGAGAUUGACAAGAGGCUUGGCUUGUUCCAAGAAAAAAAGACCAGUUUUCUGUCCGCACUGCCAGUCGUUUGUUUCAAGGAAACGAAGAAUCCGUCUGGAAUGGUCGGCAGUUUCUCACCAGGAUGAUGCAGAGUCUGUGUGGGACGAUGAGCAUGGCAACGAUGUUG